CAAAUACUCCCUCCGUCCGGAAAUACUUGUCCUAGAAAUGUACAAAAUGAAUGUAUAAGUCUAGAUGUAUCUAGACUUAAUAAGUCUAGAUACAUCUAGACUUAUACAUUCAUUUUGUACAUUUCUAGGACAAGUAUUCCCGGACGGAGGGAGUAGAUA
Non-coding RNA from Hordeum vulgare subsp. vulgare (domesticated barley), 159 nucleotides. The record is from Rfam. Lineage: Eukaryota; Viridiplantae; Streptophyta; Magnoliopsida; Poales; Poaceae.